CAAUUACACGCUGAUUAUGUUUGUAUAUAUAUACCGCGCGUCUCCCAGCACACGGUGUGGAAUAUUAAAAUAGAUUACAUACAGUAGUUUACCUCAAUCAUAGUCAUAGUCUUUAUCCAUGUUAUGUUCCAUGUUAGUUUAGUUCAUUGCUGGUUUUUCUGCUCCCAGUUCCUAGUCAGUUUGUUUCUCGACACUGUUUUCCGUGACCUUGAGUCCUGCUUUGCCACGUUUAUGCCCGUUUGCCCAUCGCCUGACCUUUUGCUUGUUUUGGAUUAUGAUUUGGAUUUAUCUACCCGUGUCUCUCUUCAAUAAAACUAUUGAACUGCACUUGCAUCCAUCCCUAUCUGCGAGACGUGACAGUAUAGCCCUUCAUGGCAACAGUAUUCCCUAAUGGCAGUGAUCUUACAGCAGGAUAAUGCCCCCUGCCAUACUGUUCAGGAACAGUUUGAGGAACAUAUUUUGUUUAUUUAUUUAAACUUUAUUUAGUCAUUUAUUUUUAUUUUCUUUUUGUUUUUAUUGGGUAUGCACGAAUGUGUUCUAAUCUGUACAAAAAACAAGUUUAGCUCCCGAUUGUUGAUUCACAGAGCUAUACAAAAUAAUCUCAACUUUUUUCUCCUUUUAUAAAUGUGGUUCUCAGUGUACUGAAGUUUGUUUUUUUCCCCAUGUGCCAUGUCUUUCAAUAAAAAAAAAAUUUUUUAAAGAAAACAACUGAGUGUUUUUUGUCUAAAAUGUUCAACAUUACUGGUUGUGACCUGGCUCUUGUUUGGCAGGUGAAUGUCGUCAUAGGGGCCCGUGAUAGAGGAGGGGAACUUGCUGAAGAUGAUGGGGGCAUUCUGCUCCAGGCAGUGGUCUCUGUAGUUCACACACACACACACACACACACACCACCUUGUCCGGGCCAGUGACCAGAGCCAAGAGCUGAAUAUCAGUGUGAGGGAGCACACAGUCGCCACUGGACAUGGCUCUGAAACGGAGAAGCAGCUAUGGACUCCAAGAACUCCCUCAUGGUGGACGGCACGGUCUGAUCAAACGCCUUCAGGUCGACGACGGCGUUCACGCUCUCCACACCGACCCUCGCACUUCACUCGGCUCCCCGUCGGCGGAACUGGACCAGGCGCAUGCUGGCUGAGGUGAGGGUGCGUGUGCCUGAGCCUACAGAAAACACAUGACCGAGUCUCCUCAAACUGAACCACGAGCUCACACCACUCUCAUCUCAUCUCCUCUCUCUCUCACACACAGGGGUGAAGGGUCAGAGAGAGAAACAAGAGGAUAUCAG
Ictalurus punctatus (channel catfish) is the source of this 1276-nucleotide long non-coding RNA. Lineage: Eukaryota; Metazoa; Chordata; Actinopteri; Siluriformes; Ictaluridae. The record is from Ensembl.